RNAcentral lists this signal recognition particle RNA (381 nucleotides) under Chlorocebus sabaeus (green monkey). RNAcentral describes it as "Metazoan signal recognition particle RNA". It matches the Rfam family "Metazoan signal recognition particle RNA". Rfam says of the family: The signal recognition particle (SRP) is a universally conserved ribonucleoprotein. It is involved in the co-translational targeting of proteins to membranes. The record is from Rfam by way of RNAcentral. Lineage: Eukaryota; Metazoa; Chordata; Mammalia; Primates; Cercopithecidae.
GCUGGGCAUAGUGGUACAUGCCUGUAAUCCCAGCUACUUGGGAGGCUGAGGCAGGAGAAUUGCUUGAACCUGGGAGACAGAGCUUGCAGCGAGUGGAGAUCUCACCACUGCAGUCCAUCCAGCCUGGGCUACACAAGUCUCAAACCAAAAAAAAAAAAAAAGUGAGGGAGAAGGCUCCAGUAGAGACUGGGGGUGCCUGCAACAAGUGGACAGGCCUUUUUUUUUUUUUUUUUUGNNNNNNNNNNCUGGAGCCUUCUCCCUCACUUUUUUUUUUUUUUUUGGUUUGAGACUUGUGUAGCCCAGGCUGGAUGGACUGCAGUGGUGAGAUCUCCACUCGCUGCAAGCUCUGUCUCCCAGGUUCAAGCAAUUCUCCUGCCUCAG